This 240-nucleotide unclassified non-coding RNA is filed under the name soil metagenome. RNAcentral describes it as "partial contains 5.8S ribosomal RNA, internal transcribed spacer 2, and large subunit ribosomal RNA". The record is from RNAcentral.
AACGCACGAGACCUGCGGACCUGCGGAGGGAUCAUUACCGAGUUAGGGUAGUCAUUCACUGCCCGACCUCCCAAUCCUGUGUCUACCACACUUUGUCGUUGCUUCGGCGGACCGGUUGACCAACUGGUCGUGACCGCCGGGGGCUGGCUCUGUCCCCCCUGGAGAGCGUCCGCCGAUGGCCCAACCACAAAAACUCUUGUACCGAAACGUGUCGUCUGAAUUAUAUUUUGAGAAAUCAAA